UGUAGAUUUGCGUAUUGUAUAAAUUUGUGGCAGAUUCAAAGCAACGAUUAAAAAAGAUGAAAAAGUCCCUUGUUCUUGUUCUCGUCCUAGUCUGUCUCCAGUUGAUAAUUCAGGCUAGCGAACAAGCACCAGUUGUUCCAGAAGGGUCUGAAAUCCUGGACAAACGUCACGGAGGCAAGCAUCACCACGGCAAUAAGAAAAGGUGCUCCACUUCUUCGUCAUCAACAGCGACGUCGCUGCCCACAACUGUGUCUACCACCACGGAAGUCUUGACAACAACAACAACACCUGCGUCCCCAUAAACGCGCAAAUAGUUUUCUUUUUUAAAAAAAAAGAUGACUACCGAAUACAAUGGAGUCCACAUGACCUAAUGUCGAAAAUAUACAUUGUUUCUGUUUAAA
Daphnia pulex (common water flea) is the source of this 401-nucleotide long non-coding RNA. RefSeq lists it as uncharacterized. The transcript is spliced from 2 exons. NCBI's taxonomy places the organism in Eukaryota, Metazoa, Arthropoda, Branchiopoda, Diplostraca, Daphniidae. The record is from RefSeq and is a predicted model, not a curated record.